UAGUCCCUGCGAUGUAAGUGAUGUAAGGGUGCUUUUGAACCAACACUAUUUUAAAGGGAGCCUAACUUUAGGUGUGGCUGUAGACUUUGUUUUCUAGAAGCAAAGGAACAUCAAGCAUCUAAGAGGGCACCCACUUAUUUAUAGGGUUCAUUAAAGAUCUCCCUUCACACGACAUCCGUGGGGAUUUU
Molecule: non-coding RNA, 188 nt
Filed under: Candidatus Omnitrophota bacterium
Lineage: Bacteria; Pseudomonadati; Candidatus Omnitrophota
Description: 6S RNA
Rfam family: 6S / SsrS RNA
About the family: E. coli 6S RNA was the first non coding RNA to be sequenced, but its function was unknown until recently. It consists of 184 nucleotides that fold into an extended hairpin structure with a large single-stranded internal bulge.
Source: RNAcentral